Molecule: ribosomal RNA, 636 nt
Filed under: Photobacterium damselae subsp. piscicida
Lineage: Bacteria; Pseudomonadati; Pseudomonadota; Gammaproteobacteria; Vibrionales; Vibrionaceae
Description: bacterial SSU rRNA
Rfam family: Bacterial small subunit ribosomal RNA
Source: RNAcentral
UGGCGGCAGGCCUAACACAUGCAAGUCGAGCGGCAGCGACUUAACUGAACCUUCGGGGAACGUUAAGGGCGGCGAGCGGCGGACGGGUGAGUAAUGCCUGGGAAUAUGCCCUGAUGUGGGGGAUAACUAUUGGAAACGAUAGCUAAUACCGCAUAAUCUCUUCGGAGCAAAGAGGGGGACCUUCGGGCCUCUCGCGUCAGGAUUAGCCCAGGUGGGAUUAGCUUGUUGGUGAGGUAAUGGCUCACCAAGGCAACGAUCCCUAGCUGGUCUGAGAGGAUGAUCAGCCACACUGGAACUGAGACACGGUCCAGACUCCUACGGGAGGCAGCAGUGGGGAAUAUUGCACAAUGGGGGAAACCCUGAUGCAGCCAUGCCGCGUGUGUGAAGAAGGCCUUCGGGUUGUAAAGCACUUUCAGUAGGGAGGAAGGUAGUGUAGUUAACACCUGCACUAUUUGACGUUACCUACAGAAGAAGCACCGGCUAACUCCGUGCCAGCAGCCGCGGUAAUACGGAGGGUGCGAGCGUUAAUCGGAAUUACUGGGCGUAAAGCGCAUGCAGGCGGCCUGUUAAGUCAGAUGUGAAAGCCCGGGGCUUAACCUCGGAAUUGCAUUUGAAACUGGCAGGCUAGAGUCUUGU